CCGGAGGAAGAGAAAGAAAAUUCGAUUCCCUUAGUAGCGGCGAGCGAAACGGGAAGAGCCCAAACCAACAAGCUUGCUUGUUGGGGUUGUAGGACACUCUAUACGGAGUUACAAAGGACGACAUUAGACGAAUCAUCUGGAAAGAUGAAUCAAAGAAGGUAAUAAUCCUGUAGUCGAAAAUGUUGUCUCUCUUGAGUGGAUCCUGAGUACGACGGAGCACGUGAAAUUCCGUCGGAAUCUGGGAGGACCAUCUCCUAAGGCUAAAUACUCUCUAGUGACCGAUAGUGAACCAGUACCGUGAGGGAAAGGUGAAAAGCACCCCGGAAGGGGAGUGAAAUAGAACCUGAAACCGUGUGCUUACAAGUAGUCAGAGCCCGUUAAUGGGUGAUGGCGUGCCUUUUGUAGAAUGAACCGGCGAGUUACGAUUUGAUGCAAGGUUAAGCAGUAAAUGUGGAGCCGUAGCGAAAGCGAGUCUGAAUAGGGCGUUUAGUAUUUGGUCGUAGACCCGAAACCAGGUGAUCUACCCUUGGUCAGGUUGAAGUUCAGGUAACACUGAAUGGAGGACCGAACCGACUUACGUUGAAAAGUGAGCGGAUGAACUGAGGGUAGCGGAGAAAUUCCAAUCGAACCUGGAGAUAGCUGGUUCUCUCCGAAAUAGCUUUAGGGCUAGCCUCAAGUGAUGAUUAUUGGAGGUAGAGCACUGUUUGGACGAGGGGCCCCUCUCGGGUUACCGAAUUCAGACAAACUCCGAAUGCCAAUUAAUUUAACUUGGGAGUCAGAACAUGGGUGAUAAGGUCCGUGUUCGAAAGGGAAACAGCCCAGACCACCAGCUAAGGUCCCAAAAUAUAUGUUAAGUGGAAAAGGAUGUGGCGUUGCCCAGACAACUAGGAUGUUGGCUUAGAAGCAGCCAUCAUUUAAAGAGUGCGUAAUAGCUCACUAGUCGAGUGACACUGCGCCGAAAAUGUACCGGGGCUAAACAUAUUACCGAAGCUGUGGAUUGUCCUUUGGACAAUGGUAGGAGAGCGUUCUAAGGGCGUUGAAGCAUGAUCGUAAGGACAUGUGGAGCGCUUAGAAGUGAGAAUGCCGGUGUGAGUAGCGAAAGACGGGUGAGAAUCCCGUCCACCGAUUGACUAAGGUUUCCAGAGGAAGGCUCGUCCGCUCUGGGUUAGUCGGGUCCUAAGCUGAGGCCGACAGGCGUAGGCGAUGGAUAACAGGUUGAUAUUCCUGUACCACCUAUAAUCGUUUUAAUCGAUGGGGGGACGCAGUAGGAUAGGCGAAGCGUGCGAUUGGAUUGCACGUCUAAGCAGUAAGGCUGAGUAUUAGGCAAAUCCGGUACUCGUUAAGGCUGAGCUGUGAUGGGGAGAAGACAUUGUGUCUUCGAGUCGUUGAUUUCACACUGCCGAGAAAAGCCUCUAGAUAGAAAAUAGGUGCCCGUACCGCAAACCGACACAGGUAGUCAAGAUGAGAAUUCUAAGGUGAGCGAGCGAACUCUCGUUAAGGAACUCGGCAAAAUGACCCCGUAACUUCGGGAGAAGGGGUGCUCUUUAGGGUUAACGCCCAGAAGAGCCGCAGUGAAUAGGCCCAAGCGACUGUUUAUCAAAAACACAGGUCUCUGCUAAACCGUAAGGUGAUGUAUAGGGGCUGACGCCUGCCCGGUGCUGGAAGGUUAAGAGGAGUGGUUAGCUUCUGCGAAGCUACGAAUCGAAGCCCCAGUAAACGGCGGCCGUAACUAUAACGGUCCUAAGGUAGCGAAAUUCCUUGUCGGGUAAGUUCCGACCCGCACGAAAGGCGUAACGAUUUGGGCACUGUCUCAACGAGAGACUCGGUGAAAUCAUAGUACCUGUGAAGAUGCAGGUUACCCGCGACAGGACGGAAAGACCCCGUGGAGCUUUACUGUAGCCUGAUAUUGAAAUUCGGCACAGCUUGUACAGGAUAGGUAGGAGCCUUUGAAACGUGAGCGCUAGCUUACGUGGAGGCGCUGGUGGG
RNAcentral lists this ribosomal RNA (1986 nucleotides) under Staphylococcus aureus. RNAcentral's name for it is "partial 23S ribosomal RNA". It matches the Rfam family "Bacterial large subunit ribosomal RNA", at positions 210 to 2196 of the family's 2925-position model. The record is from RNAcentral. Lineage: Bacteria; Bacillati; Bacillota; Bacilli; Caryophanales; Staphylococcaceae.